AGGCCAUGAUGGGGACACUUGCGUAAUAGCUCCUUGAACCUUUCCCAUGUUUCAUAUAAAGAUUCCCCGUCCACUUGUGAGUAU
This 84-nucleotide small nucleolar RNA is filed under the name Helianthus annuus (common sunflower). Its description in RNAcentral is "Plant small nucleolar RNA R71". It matches the Rfam family "Plant small nucleolar RNA R71". From Rfam's summary of the family: R71 is a member of the C/D box family of snoRNAs containing the C (UGAUGA) and D (CUGA) box motifs. The record is from RNAcentral. Lineage: Eukaryota; Viridiplantae; Streptophyta; Magnoliopsida; Asterales; Asteraceae.